This 878-nucleotide ribosomal RNA is filed under the name Agaricus matrum. RNAcentral describes it as "eukaryotic LSU rRNA". It matches the Rfam family "Eukaryotic large subunit ribosomal RNA", at positions 72 to 937 of the family's 3401-position model. The record is from RNAcentral. Lineage: Eukaryota; Fungi; Basidiomycota; Agaricomycetes; Agaricales; Agaricaceae.
GGAUUCCCCUAGUAACUGCGAGUGAAGCGGGAAAAGCUCAAAUUUAAAAUCUGGCAGUCUCUGGCUGUCCGAGUUGUAAUCUAGAGAAGUAAUGCCCGUGCUGGACCGUGUAUAAGUCUCCUGGGAUGGGGCGUCAUAGAGGGUGAGAAUCCCGUCUUUGACACGGACUACCAGUGCAUUGUGGUAUGCUCUCAAAGAGUCGAGUUGUUUGGGAAUGCAGCUCAAAAUGGGUGGUAAAUUCCAUCUAAAGCUAAAUAUUGGCGAGAGACCGAUAGCGAACAAGUACCGUGAGGGAAAGAUGAAAAGAACUUUGGAAAGAGAGUUAAACAGUACGUGAAAUUGCUGAAAGGGAAACGCUUGAAGUCAGUCGCGUUGGCCGGGAAUCAGCCUUGCUUCUGCACGGUGUACUUUCUGGUUGACGGGUCAGCAUCAAUUUUGACCGCUGGAAAAAGGCCUGGGGAAUGUGGCAGCUUCGGCUGUGUUAUAGCCCCUAGUCGCAUACAGUGGUUGGGAUUGAGGAACUCAGCACGCCGCAAGGCCGGGUUUCGACCACGUUCGUGCUUAGGAUGCUGGCAUAAUGGCUUUAAGCGACCCGUCUUGAAACACGGACCAAGGAGUCUAACAUGCCUGCGAGUAUUUGGGUGGAAAACCCAAGUGCGUAAUGAAAGUGAAAGUUGAGAUCCCUGUCGCGGGGAGCAUCGACGCCCGGACCAGAACUUUUGGGACGGAUCCGCGGUGGAGCAUGUAUGUUGGGACCCGAAAGAUGGUGAACUAUGCCUGAAUAGGGYGAAGCCAGAGGAAACUCUGGUGGAGGCUCGUAGCGAUUCUGACGUGCAAAUCGAUCGUCAAAUUUGGGUAUAGGGGCGAAAGACUAAUCG